UUGAAUUUUGAAAGUGAGCUUGAUGCUGGCUUCGUCACUGAAGUAUGUGCUCAGCUCCGCAUUCGAAAUCCAUUCAACACCUGUGCACUUUCAAAGUUGUAGUCCUCCGUCAUGGGAGCCGCGGUUUGUUAACUCAAGCUGCUGGGAUUACGCUUUGCCCUUUAUCACAAACUAUAUGCGUUGUCUUGUAGAAUGUGUCAGCCUCUAGUGGGCGAAAUGUAAUA
Molecule: unclassified non-coding RNA, 224 nt
Filed under: uncultured Hymenochaetales
Lineage: Eukaryota; Fungi; Basidiomycota; Agaricomycetes; Hymenochaetales
Description: sequence contains ITS1
Source: RNAcentral